Molecule: transfer RNA, 72 nt
Filed under: Candidatus Electryonea clarkiae
Lineage: Bacteria; Pseudomonadati; Candidatus Electryoneota; Candidatus Electryoneia; Candidatus Electryoneales; Candidatus Electryoneaceae
Description: tRNA-Gln
Rfam family: tRNA
About the family: Transfer RNA (tRNA) molecules are approximately 80 nucleotides in length.
Source: RNAcentral
AGGGGUGUAGCCAAGUGGUAAGGCAGUGGUUUUUGGUGCCGCCAUACGCAGGUUCGAACCCUGCCACCCCUG